RNAcentral lists this ribosomal RNA (240 nucleotides) under uncultured Lactobacillus sp. RNAcentral describes it as "partial 16S ribosomal RNA". It matches the Rfam family "Bacterial small subunit ribosomal RNA", at positions 122 to 354 of the family's 1533-position model. Lineage: Bacteria; Bacillati; Bacillota; Bacilli; Lactobacillales; Lactobacillaceae. The record is from RNAcentral.
UAACCUGCCCAAGAGAUCGGGAUAACACCUGGAAACAGAUGCUAAUACCGGAUAACAACAUAUGAUGCCUAUCAACUGUUUAAAAGAUGGUUCUGCUAUCACUCUUGGAUGGACCUGCGGUGCAUUAGCUAGUUGGUAGGGUAACGGCCUACCAAGGCGAUGAUGCAUAGCCGAGUUGAGAGACUGAUCGGCCACAUUGGGACUGAGACACGGCCCAAACUCCUACGGGAGGCAGCAGAC